This 255-nucleotide ribosomal RNA is filed under the name uncultured bacterium. RNAcentral's name for it is "partial 16S ribosomal RNA". It matches the Rfam family "Bacterial small subunit ribosomal RNA", at positions 524 to 776 of the family's 1533-position model. The record is from RNAcentral.
UACGUAGGGGCCUAGCGUUGUCCGGAUUUAUUGGGCGUAAAGAGCUCGUAGGCGGUUCGGCAAGUCGGAUGUGAAAUCUCCACGCUCAACGUGGAGGGGCCAUUCGAAACUGCCGUGACUCGAGUCCGGUAGGGGAGUGGUGGAAUUCCCGGUGUAGCGGUGAAAUGCGCAGAUAUCAGGAGGAACACCGAUGGCGAAGGCAGGUCUCUGGGCCACUACUGACGCUGAGAAGCGAAAGCAUGGGGAGCGAACAGG